RNAcentral lists this ribosomal RNA (374 nucleotides) under uncultured organism. RNAcentral's name for it is "partial 16S ribosomal RNA". It matches the Rfam family "Bacterial small subunit ribosomal RNA", at positions 525 to 896 of the family's 1533-position model. The record is from RNAcentral.
GGGGGGGGGGCAAGCGUUGUUCGGAAUUACUGGGCGUAAAGGGCGCGCAGGCGGCCUGGCAAGUCCUACGUGAAAUCCCACAGCUUAACUGUGGAACUGCGUGGGAUACUGCCAGGCUUGAGUCCGGGAGAGGAGAGUGGAAUUCCCAGUGUAGCGGUGAAAUGCGUAGAUAUUGGGAGGAACACCGGUGGCGAAGGCGGCUCUCUGGACCGGUACUGACGCUGAGGCGCGAAAGCUAGGGGAGCAAACGGGAUUAGAUACCCCGGUAGUCCUAGCCGUAAACUUUGAGCACUUUGUGUGGCGGGUAUCGACCCCUGCCGUGCAGAAGCUAACGCGUUAAGUGCUCCGCCUGGGGAGUACGGUCGCAAAGGCUG